RNAcentral lists this ribosomal RNA (468 nucleotides) under uncultured bacterium. Its description in RNAcentral is "partial 16S ribosomal RNA". It matches the Rfam family "Bacterial small subunit ribosomal RNA", at positions 28 to 507 of the family's 1533-position model. The record is from RNAcentral.
GACGAACGCUGGCGGUGUGCUUAACACAUGCAAGUCGAACGGAAAGGCCCUGCUUUUUUGGUGUUCUCGAUUGGCGAACGGGUGAGUAACACGUGAGUAACCUGCCCUUCAUUUUGGUAUAACUUCAGGAAACUGGGGCUACUCUCGUAUAGGAGCUCCUGCUGCAUUGUGGGGGUUGGAACGUUUCGGCGGUUGGGGUUGGAUUGGCGGCUUAUCAGCUUGUUGGUUGGGUAGUGGCUUACCAAGGCUUUGACGGGUAGCCGGCCUGUGAGGGUGGCCGGCGACAUGGAGACUGAGAUACGGCGCAGACGGGUACGGGAGGCAGCGGGGGGGAAUAUGGCACAGUGGGCGGGAGCGGGAGGAAGAGACGCGGGGGGCGGGAUGACGGCCUUCGGGUUGAGAACAGCUGUAGGCUGUGACGAAGCGGGAGUGACGGUAAUGGGUGAAGAAGCACCGGCUAACUACGUG